AGUGAGCGCUGGCGGUAGGCCUAACACAUGCAAGUCGAACGGCAGCACAGUAAGAGCUUGCUCUUACGGGUGGCGAGUGGCGGACGGGUGAGGAAUACAUCGGAAUCUACUUUUUCGUGGGGGAUAACGUAGGGAAACUUACGCUAAUACCGCAUACGACCUACGGGUGAAAGCAGGGGAUCUUCGGACCUUGCGCGAUUGAAUGAGCCGAUGUCGGAUUAGCUAGUUGGCGGGGUAAAGGCCCACCAAGGCGACGAUCCGUAGCUGUUCUGAGAGGAUGAUCAGCCACACUGGAACUGAGACACGGUCCAGACUCCUACGGGAGGCAGCAGUGGGGAAUAUUGGACAAUGGGCGCAAGCCUGAUCCAGCCAUACCGCGUGGGUGAAGAAGGCCUUCGGGUUGUAAAGCCCUUUUGUUGGGAAAGAAAAGCAGCAGGUUAAUACCCCGCUGUUCUGACGGUACCCAAAGAAUAAGCACCGGCUAACUUCGUG
RNAcentral lists this ribosomal RNA (492 nucleotides) under uncultured bacterium. RNAcentral describes it as "partial 16S ribosomal RNA". It matches the Rfam family "Bacterial small subunit ribosomal RNA", at positions 29 to 507 of the family's 1533-position model. The record is from RNAcentral.